RNAcentral lists this ribosomal RNA (798 nucleotides) under Anaptychia ciliaris. RNAcentral's name for it is "SSU rRNA". It matches the Rfam family "Bacterial small subunit ribosomal RNA", at positions 385 to 1272 of the family's 1533-position model. Lineage: Eukaryota; Fungi; Ascomycota; Lecanoromycetes; Caliciales; Physciaceae. The record is from RNAcentral.
CAUUUAGCUUAGUUAAUGAAUGCAGGAUUGACUAUGUCGAAUAAAGUUCUAGGUGGGUUAUGAUGAUGACAUUUCCUAUCUAUGUGUCUUGACCAAACUACGUGCCAGCAGUCGCGGUAACACGUAAUAGACUAGUGUUAUUCAUCUUUAAUAGGUUUAAAGGGUACCUAGACGGUAAAUCAAGUCCAAGAAGGGUACUAAUUUGCUAGAGUUUAAUGUGAGGGGGCACUAAAGUACUGAUAAGUGUAGAGAUGAAAUUCUGUGAUACAAUAUACGGCACUGGCAAAGGCGAAAGCAUCUCAUUAUGUAAUAACUGACGUUGAGGGACGAAGGCUAGGUGUAGCAAAAAGGAUUAGAUACCCAAGUAGUCUUAGCAGAAAAUUAUGAAUGUCAUAGGAUGGAGAAACAACAAAUUUUUUUUCUAUAAAUGAAAGUGUAAGCAUUCCACCUCGAGAGUAAUUUGGCAACAUUGGAACUGAAAUCAUUAGACCGUUUCUGAAACAAGUAGUGAAGUAUGUUGUUUAAUUUGAUGGUCCGCAAAAAACCUUACCACAAUUUGAAUAGAAAUUUUUUUUUCAUACAAGCGCUGCACGGUUGUCUUCAGUUAAUGUCGUGAGAUCUUGGUUAGUUCCAUUAAAUUAACGUAAACCCUUACUUUAUUUUGAUAUAGAGUAGUUCACCGCUAGAUUGGAUGUGAUAACAGGGACUAAGACAAGUCAUCAUGGCCUUAAUAUUGUGGGCUAUAGACGUGCCACAUAUGCCUUACAAAGGGAUGCAAAAUUGCGAAAUUGAGCUAAU